GGGCCUGUAGCUCAGUUGGUAGAGCGCGUGCUCGGCAGGCACGAGGUCAGGGGUUCGAUUCCCCUCAGGUCCA
This 73-nucleotide transfer RNA is filed under the name Actinomycetota bacterium. RNAcentral's name for it is "tRNA-Ala". It matches the Rfam family "tRNA". From Rfam's summary of the family: Transfer RNA (tRNA) molecules are approximately 80 nucleotides in length. Their secondary structure includes four short double-helical elements and three loops (D, anti-codon, and T loops). RNAcentral also lists the same sequence under 1 other name. The record is from RNAcentral. Lineage: Bacteria; Bacillati; Actinomycetota.